ACUCCUACGGGAGGCAGCAGUGGGGAAUAUUGCACAAUGGAGGAAACUCUGAUGCAGCAACGCCGCGUGGAGGAUGACUACUUUCGGAGCGUAAACUCCUUUAUAUAGGAAGAUAAUGACGGUACUAUAUGAAUAAGCACCGGCUAACUCCGUGCCAGCAGCCGCGGUAAUACGGAGGUGCAAGUCGUUACUCGGAAUCACUGGGACGUAAAGAGCGUGUAGGCGGGUUAUUAAGCAGAAGUGAAAUCCUAUGGCUCAACCAUAGAACUGCUUUGAAACUGGUAACCUAGAGUAUGGGAGAGGUAGAUGGAAUUUCUGGUAGUAGGGUAAAAUCCGUAGAGAUCAGAAGGAAUACCGAUUGCGAAGUCGAUCUACUGGAACAUUACUGACGCUGAGACGCGAAAGCGUGGGGAGCGAAACAGGAUUAGAGUACCCUGGUAGACUGUCA
RNAcentral lists this ribosomal RNA (448 nucleotides) under uncultured bacterium. RNAcentral's name for it is "bacterial SSU rRNA". It matches the Rfam family "Bacterial small subunit ribosomal RNA", at positions 335 to 802 of the family's 1533-position model. The record is from RNAcentral.